Molecule: ribosomal RNA, 104 nt
Organism: Cavia porcellus (domestic guinea pig)
Lineage: Eukaryota; Metazoa; Chordata; Mammalia; Rodentia; Caviidae
Source: Ensembl
AUCUACAGCCAUACCACCCUGUAUGCACCCAAUCUCGUCUGAUCUCAGAAGCUAAGCAGGGUUAGUACUUGGAUGGGAGACCGCCUGGGAAUACCAGGUGGUUU